GACGAACGCUUUCUUCUUUCUUAACACAUGCAAGUCGAACGGUGAAGCUCCAGCUUGCUGGAGUGGAUCAGUGGCGAACGGGUGAGUAACACGUGAGCAACCUGCCCCUGACUCUGGAAUAAGCGCUGGAAACGGCGUCUAAUACUGGAUACGAGAAGGGUCCGCAUGGGCACUUUCUGGAAAGUUUUUCGGUUGGGGAUGGGCUCGCGGCCUAUCAGCUUGUUGGUGAGGUAAUGGCUCACCAAGGCGACGACAGGUAGCCGGCCUGAGAGGGCGACCGGCCACACUGGGACUGAGACACGGCCCAGACUCCUACGGGAGGCAGCAGUGGGGAAUAUUGCACAAUGGGCGGAAGCCUGAUGCAGCGACGCCGCGUGAGGGAUGAAGGAAUUCGGGUUGUAAACCUCUUUCAGCAGGGAAGAAGCGAAAGUGACGGUACCUGCAGAAGAAGCACCGGCUAAAUACGGG
Molecule: ribosomal RNA, 468 nt
Filed under: uncultured bacterium
Lineage: Bacteria
Description: partial 16S ribosomal RNA
Rfam family: Bacterial small subunit ribosomal RNA
Source: RNAcentral